CCUACGGGAGGCAGCAGUGAGGAAUAUUGGUCAAUGGACGAGAGUCUGAACCAGCCAAGUAGCGUGAAGGAUGACUGCCCUAUGGGUUGUAAACUUCUUUUAUAUGGGAAUAAAAUGUUCCACGUGUGGGAUUUUGUAUGUACCAUAUGAAUAAGGAUCGGCUAACUCCGUGCCAGCAGCCGCGGUAAUACGGAGGAUCCGAGCGUUAUCCGGAUUUAUUGGGUUUAAAGGGAGCGUAGGUGGAUUGUUAAGUCAGUUGUGAAAGUUUGCGGCUCAACCGUAAAAUUGCAGUUGAAACUGGCAGUCUUGAGUACAGUAGAGAUGGGCGGAAUUCGUGGUGUAGCGGUGAAAUGCUUAGAUAUCACGAAGAACUCCGAUUGCGAAGGCAGUUCACUGGACUGCAACUGACACUGAGGCUCGAAAGUGUGGGUAUCAAACAGGAUUAGAUACCCCAGUAGUC
RNAcentral lists this ribosomal RNA (460 nucleotides) under uncultured bacterium. Its description in RNAcentral is "partial 16S ribosomal RNA". It matches the Rfam family "Bacterial small subunit ribosomal RNA", at positions 338 to 795 of the family's 1533-position model. The record is from RNAcentral.